CUAACUAACUAACUAACUAACUAACUAACUAACUAACUAACUAACUAACUAACUAACUAACUAACUAACUAACUAACUAACUAACUAACUAACUAACUAACUAACUAACUAACUAACCAACCAACCAGCCAGCCCCGGCCCGUCCUGUCCCCGCGGGUGCCGCGGCGCCGGCCCCCGCACGAAGCCGUGGGCUGGCGCUGCCCUACACCCAAUCUCCGGCCAAUCUGUCACGCUUCAUGCCAGUUGUUCUAUUUACGGAACCGUUCAGGGGUUCAGAGCCCUGAGAGCUGAUGCUUCCUGUUCAGCCUGGACUGCCCUGAGGCAUAGACAGCCACACACUGGCCAUCAGCAGUGGCAGCCCUCCCUUCGCCUCUCCUGGGGCACAGGAUUUGAAGAUAAAUUCAUAUUGCGGAGGAUAGGGACCCUCAAGUUGAGGAGGCCUCCAGCAGGGGCAGUAAAAUGUGUGCACUGUGCAUUUGUGCUUCAGCCCCUCCGCUGCCCAGUCUGUUACAGAUAGGCAUCAUCUUCUAAACACCCCAUGGG
Molecule: long non-coding RNA, 543 nt
Organism: Ficedula albicollis (Collared flycatcher)
Lineage: Eukaryota; Metazoa; Chordata; Aves; Passeriformes; Muscicapidae
Source: Ensembl